CAGUAGCCGCGGUAAUACGUAGGUGGCAAGCGUUGUCCGGGAUUAUUGGGCGUAAAGGGCUCGCAGGCGGUUUCUUAAGUCUGAUGUGAAAGCCCCCGGCUCAACCGGGGAGGGUCAUUGGAAACUGGGAAACUUGAGUGCAGAAGAGGAGAGUGGAAUUCCACGUGUAGCGGUGAAAUGCGUAGAGAUGUGGAGGAACACCAGUGGCGAAGGCGACUCUCUGGUCUGUAACUGACGCUGAGGAGCGAAAGCGUGGGGAGCGAACAGGAUUAGAUACCCCCGUAGUCCCUGUCUCUUAUAC
RNAcentral lists this ribosomal RNA (301 nucleotides) under uncultured bacterium. Its description in RNAcentral is "partial 16S ribosomal RNA". It matches the Rfam family "Bacterial small subunit ribosomal RNA", at positions 509 to 807 of the family's 1533-position model. The record is from RNAcentral.